Molecule: ribosomal RNA, 405 nt
Filed under: uncultured Actinomycetes bacterium
Lineage: Bacteria; Bacillati; Actinomycetota; Actinomycetes
Description: bacterial SSU rRNA
Rfam family: Bacterial small subunit ribosomal RNA
Source: RNAcentral
GAGUUUGAUCCUGGCUCAGGACGAACGCUGGCGGCGUGCUUAACACAUGCAAGUCGAACGGUAAGGCCCUUUCGGGGGUACACGAGUGGCGAACGGGUGAGUAACACGUGGGUGACCUGCCUCAAGCUCUGGGAUAAGCCUGGGAAACUGGGUCUAAUACCGGAUAUGACUCGCGAUCGCAUGGUUGUGGGUGGAAAGUUUUUUCGGCUUGGGAUGGGCCCGCGGCCUAUCAGCUUGUUGGUGGGGUGAUGGCCUACCAAGGCUUCGACGGGUAGCCGGCCUGAGAGGGCGUCCGGCCACACUGGGACUGAGACACGGUCCAGACUCCUACGGGAGGCAGCAGUGGGGAAUAUUGGACAAUGGGCGCAAGCCUGAUCCAGCCAUGCCGCGUGUGUGAAGAAGGCC